GAUGAACGCUGGCGGCGUGCUUAACACAUGCAAGUCGAACGGUGAACACGGAGCUUGCUCUGUGGGAUCAGUGGCGAACGGGUGAGUAACACGUGAGCAACCUGCCCCUGACUCUGGGAUAAGCGCUGGAAACGGCGUCUAAUACUGGAUAUGUGACGUGACUGCAUGGUCUGCGUUUGGAAAGAUUUUUCGGUUGGGGAUGGGCUCGCGGCCUAUCAGCUUGUUGGUGAGGUAAUGGCUCACCAAGGCGUCGACGGGUAGCCGGCCUGAGAGGGUGACCGGCCACACUGGGAUUGAGACACGGCCCAGACUCCUACGGGAGGCAGCAGUGGGGAAUAUUGCACAAUGGGCGAAAGCCUGAUGCAGCAACGCCGCGUGAGGGAUGACGGCCUUCGGGUUGUAAACCUUUUUUAGCAGGGAAGAAGCGAAAGUGACGGUACCUGCAGAAAAAGCGCCGGCUAACUACGUG
RNAcentral lists this ribosomal RNA (469 nucleotides) under uncultured bacterium. RNAcentral's name for it is "partial 16S ribosomal RNA". It matches the Rfam family "Bacterial small subunit ribosomal RNA", at positions 28 to 507 of the family's 1533-position model. The record is from RNAcentral.